Molecule: ribosomal RNA, 230 nt
Filed under: uncultured bacterium
Lineage: Bacteria
Description: partial 16S ribosomal RNA
Rfam family: Bacterial small subunit ribosomal RNA
Source: RNAcentral
AAAGAGCGCGUAGGCGGGUUCUUAAGUGAGGGGUGAAAGUCCGAGGCUCAACCUCGGAACUGCCUUUCAUACUGGGAGCCUUGAGUGCGGGAGAGGCGAGUGGAAUGGUCGGUGUAGCGGUGAAAUGCGUAGAUAUCGAUCGGAACACCCAUGGCGAAGGCAGCUCGCUGGCCUGUAACUGACGCUGAGGCGCGAAAGCGUGGGGAGCAAACAGGAUUAGAUACCCCAGU